GUCCAUGCCGUAAACGUUGGGCACUAGGUGUGGGACCCCCUCAACGGGUUCCGUGCCGUAGCUAACGCAUUAAGUGCCCCGCCUGGGGAGUACGGCCGCAAGGCUAAAACUCAAAGGAAUUGACGGGGCCCGCACAAGCAGCGGAGCAUGUUGCUUAAUUCGAGGCAACGCGAAGAACCUUACCUGGGUUUGACAUGCUGGGAAAAGCCACAGAGAUGUGGUGUCCUUUUGGGCCCAGCACAGGUGGUGCAUGGUUGUCGU
RNAcentral lists this ribosomal RNA (261 nucleotides) under uncultured bacterium. RNAcentral's name for it is "partial 16S ribosomal RNA". It matches the Rfam family "Bacterial small subunit ribosomal RNA", at positions 793 to 1055 of the family's 1533-position model. The record is from RNAcentral.